Molecule: non-coding RNA, 265 nt
Organism: Arachis ipaensis
Lineage: Eukaryota; Viridiplantae; Streptophyta; Magnoliopsida; Fabales; Fabaceae
Source: RefSeq, a predicted model, not a curated record
AUGCAGGGUUCAACUUGAAUACCCCUUUUUUUCCUAAUUUUCGCCAAAUCCCGUUACCCAGUUUCCGUACGCACCUGCUACCCUCUACGGUGUUGGAGUUCCUUCAAGCUGAGCUCGAGCUUCAGAGGGAAGAGAGGAAUUGUUUGUAGUGUUACUGAGCCACAUUCAGAUCCUGAGGGUGACAAUGAGGAGGUACUUUCAGUUUGCUUUGGUACUAUAUCUGUUGGAGAAUUUGUGAGUUGGUUAAUUUGUUGUAACUGUCAGG